RNAcentral lists this non-coding RNA (92 nucleotides) under Bacteroidota bacterium. RNAcentral describes it as "Bacteroidetes bacterium TPP sequence". It matches the Rfam family "TPP riboswitch aptamer (THI element)". From Rfam's summary of the family: Vitamin B(1) in its active form thiamin pyrophosphate (TPP) is an essential coenzyme that is synthesised by coupling of pyrimidine and thiazole moieties in bacteria. Lineage: Bacteria; Pseudomonadati; Bacteroidota. The record is from RNAcentral.
CUCAAACUUUAGGGGUGCCUUUACGGGCUGAGAUCAUACCCUCAAAACCUGAUGCAGAUAAUGCCGCCGAAGGAAAAAGAAUUUUCUCUUGC